AAUGGCUUGGAUUUUUUUUUGUUUUUUUUGGUUUAUAAGUUUUAAAAUUUGAAUUAAAUUUUUAUAAAAAUUAUCGAGUUGUUGUUCCUUUUUUUUUUUCCAUCAAUAAAAGGUUUUAAUUAUAAAAAAAA
RNAcentral lists this non-coding RNA (131 nucleotides) under Rhodomonas sp. CCMP768. Lineage: Eukaryota; Cryptophyceae; Pyrenomonadales; Pyrenomonadaceae. The record is from RNAcentral.